This 429-nucleotide ribosomal RNA is filed under the name Staphylococcus aureus. RNAcentral describes it as "bacterial SSU rRNA". It matches the Rfam family "Bacterial small subunit ribosomal RNA", at positions 728 to 1153 of the family's 1533-position model. The record is from RNAcentral. Lineage: Bacteria; Bacillati; Bacillota; Bacilli; Caryophanales; Staphylococcaceae.
UCUGGGCUGUAACUGACGCUGAGGAGCGAAAGCAUGGGGAGCGAACAGGAUUAGAUACCCUGGUAGUCCAUGCCGUAAACGUUGGGCACUAGGUGUGGGGGCCAUUCCACGGUUUCCGCGCCGCAGCUAACGCAUUAAGUGCCCCGCCUGGGGAGUACGGCCGCAAGGCUAAAACUCAAAGGAAUUGACGGGGGCCCGCACAAGCGGCGGAGCAUGCGGAUUAAUUCGAUGCAACGCGAAGAACCUUACCAAGGCUUGACAUGUUCUCGUUCGCCGUAGAGAUACGGUUUCCCCUUUGGGGCGGGUUCACAGGUGGUGCAUGGUUGUCGUCAGCUCGUGUCGUGAGAUGUUGGGUUAAGUCCCGCAACGAGCGCAACCAAAAAUAAUAUGUUGCCAGCACGUGAUGGUGGGGACUCAUGGGAGACUGCC